This 492-nucleotide ribosomal RNA is filed under the name uncultured bacterium. RNAcentral's name for it is "partial 16S ribosomal RNA". It matches the Rfam family "Bacterial small subunit ribosomal RNA", at positions 29 to 507 of the family's 1533-position model. The record is from RNAcentral.
AGUGAACGCUGGCGGUAGGCCUAACACAUGCAAGUCGAACGGCAGCACAGUAAGAGCUUGCUCUUACGGGUGGCGAGUGGCGGACGGGUGAGGAAUACAUCGGAAUCUACUUUUUCGUGGGGGAUAACGUAGGGAAACUUACGCUAAUACCGCAUACGACCUACGGGUGAAAGCAGUGGAUCUUCGGACCUUGCGCGAUUGAAUGAGCCGAUGUCGGAUUAGCUAGUUGGCGGGGUAAAGGCCCACCAAGGCGACGAUCCGUAGCUGGUCUGAGAGGAUGAUCAGCCACACUGGAACUGAGACACGGUCCAGACUCCUACGGGAGGCAGCAGUGGGGAAUAUUGGACAAUGGGCGCAAGCCUGAUCCAGCCAUACCGCGUGGGUGAAGAAGGCCUUCGGGUUGUAAAGCCCUUUUGUUGGGAAAGAAAAGCAGCAGGUUAAUACCCCGCUGUUCUGACGGUACCCAAAGAGUAAGCACCGGCUAACUUCGUG